GGAUCCAGACUUUGAUUAUGGCUCACGAUGAACGCUAGCUACAGGCUUAACACAUGCAAGUCGAGGGGCAGCGGGAUUGAAGCUUGCUUCAAUUGCCGGCGACCGGCGCACGGGUGAGUAACGCGUAUCCAACCUUCCGUACACUCAGGGAUAGCCUUUCGAAAGAAAGAUUAAUACCUGAUAGUAUCUUUAGCACACAUGUAAUUAAGAUUAAAGAUUUAUCGGUGUACGAUGGGGAUGCGUUCCAUUAGGUAGUAGGCGGGGUAACGGCCCACCUAGCCAACGAUGGAUAGGGGUUCUGAGAGGAAGGUCCCCCACAUUGGAACUGAGACACGGUCCAAACUCCUACGGGAGGCAGCAGUGAGGAAUAUUGUCAAUGGACGAGAGUCUGAACCAGCCAAGUAGCGUGAAGGAUGAAGGCCCUACGGAUUGUAAACUUCUUUUAUAAGGGAAAAAACCCUCCCACGUGUGGGAGCUUGUAUGUACCUUAUGAAUAAGCAUCGGCUAACUCCGUGCCAGCAGCCGCGGUAAUACGGAGGAUGCGAGCGUUAUCCGGAUUUAUUGGGUUUAAAGGGAGCGCAGACGGGUCGUUAAGUCAGCUGUGAAAGUUUGGGGCUCAACCUUAAAAUUGCAGUUGAUACUGGCGUCCUUGAGUGCGGUUGAGGUGUGCGGAAUUCGUGGUGUAGCGGUGAAAUGCUUAGAUAUCACGAAGAACUCCGAUUGCGAAGGCAGCACACUAAUCCGUAACUGACGUUCAUGCUCGAAAGUGUGGGUAUCAAACAGGAUUAGAUACCCUGGUAGUCCACACGGUAAACGAUGGAUACUCGCUGUUGGCGAUAUACUGUCAGCGGCUUAGCGAAAGCGUUAAGUAUCCCACCUGGGGAGUACGCCGGCAACGGUGCAACUCAAAGGAAUUGACGG
Molecule: ribosomal RNA, 921 nt
Filed under: uncultured Bacteroidota bacterium
Lineage: Bacteria; Pseudomonadati; Bacteroidota
Description: bacterial SSU rRNA
Rfam family: Bacterial small subunit ribosomal RNA
Source: RNAcentral